GACGAACGCUGGCGGCGUGCUUAACACAUGCAAGUCGAACGGUGAAGGGAUCAGCUUGCUGGUUCUGGAUGAGUGGCGAACGGGUGAGUAACACGUGAGUAACCUGCCCCCUUCUUCUGGAUAACCGCAUGAAAGUGUGGCUAAUACGGGAUAUUCUGCGCCUGCUGCAUGGUGGGUGUGGGAAAGAUAUUGUUUCGGUGGGGGAUGGGCUCGCGGCCUAUCAGCUUGUUGGUGGGGUGAUGGCCUACCAAGGCGGUGACGGGUAGCCGGCCUGAGAGGGUGGACGGUCACACUGGGACUGAGACACGGCCCAGACGCCUACGGGAGGCAGCAGUGGGGAAUAUUGCACAAUGGGCGCAAGCCUGAUGCAGCGACGCCGCGUGAGGGAUGGAGGCCUUCGGGUUGUGAACCUCUUUCGCCAGUGAAGCAGGCCUGUCCCUUGUGGGUGGGUUGACGGUAGCUGGAUAAGAAGCGCCGGCUAACUACGUG
RNAcentral lists this ribosomal RNA (489 nucleotides) under uncultured bacterium. RNAcentral's name for it is "partial 16S ribosomal RNA". It matches the Rfam family "Bacterial small subunit ribosomal RNA", at positions 28 to 507 of the family's 1533-position model. The record is from RNAcentral.